Molecule: non-coding RNA, 430 nt
Organism: Cinara cedri
Lineage: Eukaryota; Metazoa; Arthropoda; Insecta; Hemiptera; Aphididae
Source: the annotation of a GenBank genome assembly
UAAUUUAGGUGUUCACUGAUAACAGAAUUGCCGUCCUUAAUUAAAUAGAUAGGUUACAUAAAAAUUAUAUAAUGAAUGCAAGAACUAUAAGAAUGUUAAAUAUUAGCAUGUACUAAAUUUUAAUUUUUCGCAAAGUAUUCAUAUAUAUAUAAUGUUUAUAAUUUCAUAUUAUUGCACUUGUUCGGAGAAUCAUAAAAUAAAAAUUUGAAAUCAACCAGGUAAUUUGCUGGUUUUGCUCCAUUUUGGUAUUUUUCUGGUAAAAGCUGUUUAUUAUUUUUAAAUGUCAGAAAAAAAAAAUGGGUGCGAUAUUGUUAUACGUGGAAAGUUGGCAAUUUAAUUUAGCAGUAUUAAAAUAUUGCUUACAGAAUACGAUUUUGAGCGAAGUUCAGUUGUACAUGUUUUAAAAUGACCGAAUUUUUAAAAUUUCAUC